GAUGAACGCUGGCGGCGUGCCUAAUACAUGCAAGUCGAGCGAACAGAUGAGGAGCUUGCUCCUCUGUCGUUAGCGGCGGACGGGUGAGUAACACGUGGAUAACCUACCUAUCAGACUGGGAUAACUUCGGGAAACCGGAGCUAAUACCGGAUAAUAUCUUUAACCGCAUGUUUCAAUAGUGAAAGACGGUUUUGCUGUCACUUAUAGAUUUAUCCGCUCCGCAUUAGAUAUUUGGUAAGUUAACGGCUUACCAAGGCAACGAUGCGUAGCCGACGUGGGAGGGUGAUCGGCAAAACUGGAACUGAGACAGGGUCAAGACUCCUACGGGAGGAAGCAGAAGGGAAAUUGCCGCAAGGGGGGAAAGCAUGACGGAGAAAGGCCACGUGAGGGAUGAAGGUCUACGGAUCGUAAAACUCGGUUAUUAGGGAAGAACAAAGGGGUAAGUAAAUAUGCACGAAGUGACGGUAACUAAUCAGAAAGCCACGGCUAACUACGUG
RNAcentral lists this ribosomal RNA (497 nucleotides) under uncultured bacterium. RNAcentral's name for it is "partial 16S ribosomal RNA". It matches the Rfam family "Bacterial small subunit ribosomal RNA", at positions 28 to 507 of the family's 1533-position model. The record is from RNAcentral.